This 298-nucleotide long non-coding RNA is filed under the name Physcomitrium patens. RNAcentral's name for it is "long non-coding RNA (PPAT_LNC010589)". Lineage: Eukaryota; Viridiplantae; Streptophyta; Bryopsida; Funariales; Funariaceae. The record is from RNAcentral.
UUUUAAUAUAAUUGUCAACAAAUUUUUAAUAAAAUUAUAAACUAGCUCUUAUUAAAUCCUAAAUAAGUCUUAAUAAAAUCCUAAAUAAAUUCUAAUUAAAUCUUAGAUAAAAUCUUAAUCAAAUCCUAAUCAAAUCUUAAUGAAGUCAUAAACCAAUUCUAAUAAAAUCUUAAAUAUAUCCUUAAUCCUAAUCAAAUUCUAAUUAAAUCUUAGACCAAAUCUUAAUCUAAUCUUAAAUCCUAAUCAAACCUUAGACCAAACCUUAAUUAAAUCUAAUCAAAAUUUAAUCAAAUCUUAG